Molecule: long non-coding RNA, 3042 nt
Filed under: Eucalyptus grandis
Lineage: Eukaryota; Viridiplantae; Streptophyta; Magnoliopsida; Myrtales; Myrtaceae
Description: long non-coding RNA (EGRA_LNC005010)
Source: RNAcentral
AUAAAAGUAGGGUCAUAUUUUUCAUACUGAAAUUCACAACUAUUCUUUUAUACAAGCACCUCAUAAUAUAUAAUGCAAUACUAUUCACAGGGGCCUAAUCUAACACUUAUCCACAUAUAAUCAAGGUCUGACAAAACGGGAUGGGAUCUCAGUCCUUAUCCGGAUCGUACCCAGGAUCCUCCUCAUGGUCAUCUUCUUCUCUAAAAUCUUCCUUCUCAUCUAGUUCCACAUUAGGGUUCUCCUCUUCAGAUUCCUCCUCCUCAGGCUCCUCAUCAGGGUCCUGAAAUGGUUAUUCAAUAACCAUUGAGACCAUGUCUCAGCAAGUUCUACUCCUUAAGACCCGAUUAGUAAACUAAUACACCUUAAGGCUGUCUAUGCACAAUAUGAGUCAGAUGACUUACCUUGGCUUCAGAUUCCACCUACAUAUUAGCACAGAUCAAAUAGACAUCUAAGCAAUCACAUCACUGAUCGAAGCAUCAAUCAAAUCGACCCGGUCAAUUACAUGCCAACAAGACCACUCACGGUCAUUUCCAUUCAAUCAAUUAAUUCACAACGUCAGAUCAAAGCGAUGAUCAAUCGACCUAAUCGAUUACAUGUCAACGAUAACCAUUCCCUGGCCAAUUCAGUUCAAUCAAUCAAUUCAUGACAAAUGGAUCAAAUCAUAUUGGUGAUUCGAUCUAUACUCGAUAAUUAUUCUCAACGUUCCAAUUCAACAUUCUCACUCAAAAAUAGGCUCAAGGCGCUAAAGGUGACCCCAACACGAAAUCUUGUCAUCGUGCGGUACUUAGUCCUUGCCCCCAAAUAACAAUAGUAUAAGGCGCUAGAGGUAAUUCACAUGAAAUCUCGCUAUCAUGUAGUACUUAAUCAUUCACUACAAAAUGCAAUAGGGUAAGACGCUAGAGGUGACUCACACGAGAUCUUAUCAUCGUGUAGCACUUAGCCUUUCACUAUGCAUAACAAUGAUGUAAGGCACUAAAGAUAAUUCCCAUGCGACUCAGGUCGCCAUGUAACACUUAGCCCUUAACUGCAAUAAGUAAUGGUAUAAGGCACUAGAUGUGACUCACACGAAGUCUUCUACUCGUGUAGUACUUAGUCCUUUAUUUGCUCAUGACCCAAUGACAUUGUGCCUCGUAUUUAAAUUCCUCAAUUCAAAUAACUUCUUGGCCUAAUUUCUUCAUAUUAAAAAUAUCCGAUAAAAUCUCAUGCGUGGGCACACGGUUGGCCUUAGCCAAAAUAUAAUAUUUUUUUUCCAUAACUCCCACCUUUUCUGCAAUCCAUUCAAAUAUUUUUGACAUUGUCAACCAAUGCCCGGUUAUUUUUCAAUUAAUAACUAAAGAUUAUUCAAUUAAAGAAUAAUUCCUAGUUUCACAAAUAAUUCAAUUCAGCACAAAAUAAAGCUCAAUUAAAUAAACAAACUACGCCACAACAAUCAGCACCAAAUUUCGGUCACCAGCCAUCCCGGUUGAAUUUCCGGAAAAUAAAUAAUUAAAUAAUUAAUUUUGAAAAUUAAAUAAAUUAAAUACAAUAAUUCCAAUUUAGCACCACAUAAAACUCAAUUAAAUAAAUGGACUGCACCACGAUCAUCAUCAUAAAAUCCUGGUCACUAGCCAUCCCAAUUGAAUUUCCGGAAAAUAAAUAAUUAAAUAAUUAAUUUCAAAAAUAAUAUUUAAUUCCUAAAAAUUCCAAUUAGGCCUGAAUUGCCUAAUUAACACCCGAUAAGGGUCGGGAAAAAUCCCAAGAAGCAUCCAAUAAAUAGUAUUACGUGCCUACUUGCUAAUUGCACAAUCCAAUUGACUAACAUGCAUCACAAUUAUCUAAUAAUCACUAAUCUACUCUAAUCUAACCACCUAAUUGCACUUAAUUAAAUCUACUCAACCUUUAAGUAUAAUUAGCAAACUAAGAAGGCAUUAGUGAGUAAAACUCACUUGAGCAAAGCGAAGACCGGAACACCGCUACGACGACGCGACGGUGGCCGAACUUGGGCCGACUUGCUUCAUGGGCCCAAGAUGGGCUAAACUUGUUGGGCCUUGCUGAAAUACAAAUGAUGCUAGGCUUGAAACUAAACUGAACUGGGCUUCAAAAAGCUGGGCCGAGUUAUUAAAUCUUUGGGCCGAAUUUGGACUGAAAUGAGCUGCUGGACCAACAAAUUUUGCUGGGCUUGAAAUUCAAUGGGCUGAAGACACUUGCUGGACUUGAAGACUUCAACUGGGCCGAAAUUUGCUGGGUUUCAAAUCCAAUUGAUGAUGGGCUGGAUGCUGGGCUGGCUUGUUGCGGCAGAUCCACGAGCUGAAGAAGACGCGGCGAAGAAGCUGCUACUCGUGGACGCAAGGCAAGAAACAGAGGUGGCUUCGUGGACUGGAAAAGAAGGCUGACUUCGGCUUCAAAUUGGGCUGAACGAAGAAGAUGGGCUGGCUUCGCUCGAAUUGAUGCUGGACGAGUGAGCAGCGAACACGGGGCUGCUGCAGGCGUGCGGUCGAAGACGGAGCAGACGAGGAAGCAGCUGGUCUUCGAGCAGACCGAAAUCCACGAGCGUUGAAGGCAGCGACAGAGAGGAAGCAGCUUCGUUUGACGUCACGCGGCCAGCUGGAGACAGAAGCCGCGAAGGUGGUUGAGCUGGCUUCGGUCGGCUGAAAUUCUCGAGCGUUGAAGAUGGAUGAUUGACUUGGCGAAGGCGGACGUGGCAGCUCGGUCGGUCGAAGAUGAAAUGGAGCGGUUGAUUCGGUAGGCUUGCUUCUCGGUGGAUUGUGGGCUUGCAGGCAAGAGGAAAUGGACGCGCGGCAAGGAGUCAACCAAAUUGAAGAAGAACGUGGACGUGGCCGUUUCCAAGAGCCUCGGCGGAGAUGACGGUCAACAAGAGGGCUUCAUGGCAAGGGGUUUGAUCGAAUCAAAGAAAUUGUGGCCAAAAUGAAAAGUUGAUGGUGGAGAUGGACGUUCAUGAAUGGGGGAAAGGAUGAGCGGUAGAGAGAAACUGAAAAUUGAGAUGCAGAGAAAACGAAAGAUGAAAUGAAGGAGAAUCCGGAUGCGGUAGAAGCAGAGGCGUCG